Molecule: ribosomal RNA, 497 nt
Filed under: uncultured bacterium
Lineage: Bacteria
Description: partial 16S ribosomal RNA
Rfam family: Bacterial small subunit ribosomal RNA
Source: RNAcentral
GAUGAACGCUGGCGGCGUGCCUAAUACAUGCAAGUCGAGCGAACGGACGAGAAGCUUGCUUCUCUGAUGUUAGCGGCGGACGGGUAAGUAACACGUGGAUAACCUACCUAUAAGACUGGGAUAAAUUCGGGAAACCGGAGCUAAUACCGGAUAAUAUUUUGAACCGGAUGGUUCAAAAGUGAAAGACGGUCUUGCUGUCACUUAUAGAUGGAUCCGCGCUGCAUUAGCUAGUUGGUAAGGUAACGGCUUACCAAGGCAACGAUGCAUAGCCGACCUGAGAGGAUGAUCAGCCACACUGGAACUGAGACACGGUCCAGACUCCUACGGGAGGCAGCAGUGGGGAAUCUUCCGCAAUGGGCGAAAGCCUGACGGAGCAACGCCGCGUGAGUGAUGAAGGUCUUCGGAUCGUAAAACUCUGUUAUUAGGGAAGAACAUAUGUAUAAGUAACUGUGCACAUCUUGACGGUACCUAAUCAGAAAGCCACGGCUAACUACGUG